RNAcentral lists this transfer RNA (64 nucleotides) under Lamprotula gottschei. Its description in RNAcentral is "tRNA-Leu". Lineage: Eukaryota; Metazoa; Mollusca; Bivalvia; Unionida; Unionidae. The record is from RNAcentral.
UAGAGGGUAAGUGGUUACUUAUUUUUUGAUUCUAAGUCAAUGGUAUUUUUUAUACUAACCCGCU